AUCCAAAAUACGAAAUGAAAGAAUAUAAAUUGGGGUUUUGUUCAAAAGCUAAAAAAUUAUAUUUUGUGGUUUAGAACCCUAAUUUAGAAUCGAUAUAAACUAAAUGCAUAUUUGGACUCAAGAGGUUAUGGUUCACCGAGAGUUGGGCUUAAUUUCAAUUUAGCCACGUGAGUCCGAGUUAACUUUUUAUUAGCAUUUGAAAUUUUGUUAAAGACUGAAGCAUUAUCAUUUUAAAUUGACUUUUAUAGUUGUGGACACUUUGGGGCUUAAGAUAAAGAAAAAAAUAUUUAGGAAGGUUAAAGCCUACUUUAGAGAAGGUAAGUAUUCUGAUUAACUUUGACUUGAGGAACUUCUUCUCAAAAUAAACUUAUGUACUACAUGCUAUGUGUUGGAAUGUGAUAUAUAUAAAAUGUGACGAAUAUAUAUGCACAUGUCGAGGUUAUUUUAUUACAUGAAAUAGAGUUUAGGCUUCUUUAUGCCUAGCUUGAUACAUGUUCUAUUUAUAAUAUGCUUUAUUUAUUUGUAUGCCUACUUAAAUAUACUUAUCAUGCUGGAAAUUAUAUCUAGG
RNAcentral lists this long non-coding RNA (568 nucleotides) under Nicotiana benthamiana. RNAcentral's name for it is "long non-coding RNA (NBEN_LNC017430)". Lineage: Eukaryota; Viridiplantae; Streptophyta; Magnoliopsida; Solanales; Solanaceae. The record is from RNAcentral.